ACACUUGUCGUGUCCCCGCGCAGAGCUGCGACCCGCACCGCAGAGGGUCCCAACCCUUAAAAGGGCUCCGAUUGGGCAGGGCAGGCCCGGGCGGGGUCAGCGGAUUUGCGUGUCAGUCGCUCCCACACUCCUGCCGUCGAGAGCUGGGAUUCUUUCAGUGGGUUCAAGCGCAACGGCUGGGAUGGGAGGAAACUGAGUCUCCAAGUUACAAAUGGCUGUGUCCUGAGUUCAAGAAGCGAAGCUCGGGACUAGACAUGAUUUCAUGCCCAUGGCUAGCUCCCAAGCUGGAUCCAGCACCAGGCAGGCAGAGAAUUCAUGCCCCCCCCCCCCC
Molecule: long non-coding RNA, 331 nt
Organism: Mus musculus (house mouse)
Lineage: Eukaryota; Metazoa; Chordata; Mammalia; Rodentia; Muridae
Product: predicted gene, 38571
Exons: 3
Source: RefSeq, a predicted model, not a curated record